ACCAUGAACAAGCUAAUGCCAUGACUACCUUAAGAAGUGGACGCGUAGUGGACAAUAAGGUUGGAGAAAAGGAACAUAAAGAAAAUGAAGACAAGAGUAUGACUGUGCUUAAAGAGAACCCAAACUCGUCUUUGUCGCCAUCUAGUCCAGUAUCGACCACACCAUUUACACCGAAGGCUCCUUUCCCUCAGUGUCUGAAUACACCUUCUUCCUUUGGCA
RNAcentral lists this long non-coding RNA (219 nucleotides) under Phoenix dactylifera (date palm). RNAcentral describes it as "long non-coding RNA (PDAC_LNC012131)". The record is from RNAcentral. Lineage: Eukaryota; Viridiplantae; Streptophyta; Magnoliopsida; Arecales; Arecaceae.